RNAcentral lists this non-coding RNA (24 nucleotides) under Arabidopsis thaliana (thale cress). The record is from RNAcentral. Lineage: Eukaryota; Viridiplantae; Streptophyta; Magnoliopsida; Brassicales; Brassicaceae.
AGUAGUGUAAACCGUAGUGGUGGU